This is a long non-coding RNA of Belonocnema kinseyi, 1320 nucleotides long. RefSeq lists it as uncharacterized. The transcript has 3 exons. The record is from RefSeq and is a predicted model, not a curated record. NCBI's taxonomy places the organism in Eukaryota, Metazoa, Arthropoda, Insecta, Hymenoptera, Cynipidae.
GGAAGAAUUCCAAAAUUCAUGUAAACUAGAGAAGAUCAUUCGAAUUCCUUGGAUUUGCGAGUGCGGAAGAUUGAACGGCAAAACACUCAUGUGCGAUGAAGGAAUAUUAAUUGUGAAUGGUUUUACAAUAGACCUGACCCUCCUCAACUUUCUAGGCGUUUAAAACUCCUUCAGCUUACGUGUUUCUCCUACGCUGGAAGCCUCGAAGCCGAACAAUGGCAGACGAACUUUUGAGCUCUCCAGACCAGAUUACGUGGCACUGAUCGCAAAUCUCUUUCAAGAUGUGAAGGUCGACCGACACUUAAAUGUCAGUGCCAUGAGAAAAUAGAAGUGCAUCAUGAAGCUUUGCAUAAAAACUGCAUUUUAGUGUUUUCGUUGACGUCUCUUGUUCAGGCUUCCAAAAAGCACUUGCCUCUCGUCCCACGCACUCUGUUGAAAAAACUGAAGGCGCAGAAUGAACUAACAUCGUCCAAACCCUCACAUUCUGCUUGGUUAGACAUGCGCUUUUAACUUCAAAAGAGGAAAAAGUACCCUCGUUCAUGACGGAAGAAGCCAAGGGUUGAAGUGAAAGUGAAAUUUAAAAAAAAUUCUAUUAUCAAGACUAUUUUUCACACCUACACAAAUUUCAAGAUGAAUCGCUCCAGUUACUUAGUGAGAGUAAAUAUUAGUCUGAUGACUCCAUGCAGACUGGCCAAACAUCGGAAUAAGAAAUUAUCUGGGAAAUGAUCACGUAUGCAGAUAUGGUCAAGUUUAAUUGCGCACUUCGACGAAUCGGAAAAGCCUAUUAAGGAGAGUAAACUGUUUAUGUAACUGCUGCUGUGCAGAGUGCACCUGUAUUUAACCCCCCACGAAUUUAUGUUCAGAGUAAAGCGGUAGAGGAAAAAAGAGAAUUUUUUAACAAGAGAAAGAGAAGAUUUCAUCGAUUUAACAGCAAGGAGUAUUUGUGGCUCAUAAAGUAAAAGCAUGUCAAAUAUUUUUUUACGUUCUUUAGAAAAUAGACUAUACAUUUUUUAUUGCAUUCGACAACAAAUCUCAGGGUGGCCGUCUUAAUCGAGGAAAACCAGUAUUUUCGUUAUUUAAUGAUUUAUGAUAAAAUUGUUUUUUGUUUUUAAAUUUCCCCUCCAACUCGGUACAAAAUUAAAAUGUUCCUCCCCUUCAUCUGAAUGUCAAAAAUACCAAAUGACUGUUCAAUAACAAUGUUCAAAAGAAAAAAAAUUGGCUCCAAUUUAUGAAAAUAACCAAAAUUUCCUCCCAUCCAGAUCAAUAAAAAUGUUCAAACUAAAAGAAGAGUGCAUCUUCCAGUUUAGAAAAAACAUAAAA